AUGAACGCUGGCGGCGUGCCUAAUACCUGCAAGUCGAGCGAACGGACGAGAAGCUUGCUUCUCUGAUGUUAGCGGCGGACGGGUGAGUAACACGUGGAUAACCUACCUAUAAGACUGGGAUAACUUCGGGAAACCGGAGCUAAUACCGGAUAAUAUUUUGAACCGCAUGGUUCAAAAGUGAAAGACGGUCUUGCUGUCACUUAUAGAUGGAUCCGCGCUGCAUUAGCUAGUUGGUAAGGUAACGGCUUACCAAGGCAACGAUGCAUAGCCGACCUGAGAGGGUGAUCGGCCACACUGGAACUGAGACACGGUCCAGACUCCUACGGGAGGCAGCAGUAGGGAAUCUUCCGCAAUGGGCGAAAGCCUGACGGAGCAACGCCGCGUGAGUGAUGAAGGUCUUCGGAUCGUAAAACUCUGUUAUUAGGGAAGAACAUAUGUGUAAGUAACUGUGCACAUCUUGACGGUACCUAAUCAGAAAGCCACGGCUAACUACGU
This 495-nucleotide ribosomal RNA is filed under the name uncultured bacterium. RNAcentral describes it as "partial 16S ribosomal RNA". It matches the Rfam family "Bacterial small subunit ribosomal RNA", at positions 29 to 506 of the family's 1533-position model. The record is from RNAcentral.